GACGAACGCUGGCGGCGUGCUUAACACAUGCAAGUCGAACGGAAAGGCCCUGCUUUUGUGGGGUGCUCGAGUGGCGAACGGGUGAGUAACACGUGAGUAACCUGCCCUUGACUUUGGGAUAACUUCAGGAAACUGGGGCUAAUACCGGAUAGGAGCUCCUGCUGCAUGGUGGGGGUUGGAAAGUUUCGGCGUUUGGGGAUGGACUCGCGGCUUAUCAGCUGGUUGGUGGGGUAGUGGCUUACCAAGGCUUUGACGGGUAGCCGGCCUGAGAGGGUGACCGGCCACAUUGGGACUGAGAUACGGCCCAGACUCCUACGGGAGGCAGCAGUGGGGAAUAUUGCACAAUGGGCGGAAGCCUGAUGCAGCAACGCCGCGUGCGGGAUGACGGCCUUCGGGUUGUAAACCGCUUUCGCCUGUGACGAAGCGUGAGUGACGGUAAUGGGUAAAGAAGCACCGGCUAACUACGUG
This 468-nucleotide ribosomal RNA is filed under the name uncultured bacterium. RNAcentral's name for it is "partial 16S ribosomal RNA". It matches the Rfam family "Bacterial small subunit ribosomal RNA", at positions 28 to 507 of the family's 1533-position model. The record is from RNAcentral.